AUAACACCAAAGUGCUGGUAGAUAAACAAGCCGCUGUUGGCCUAUUAUAUAGCACCAAAGUGCUGGUAGAUAAACAAGCCGCUGUUGGCCUAUUAUAUAGCACCAAAGUGCUGGUAGAUAAACAAGCCGCUGUUGGCCUAUUAUAUAGCACCAAAGUGCUGGUAGAUAAACAAGCCGCUGUUGGCCUAUUAUAUAGCACCAAAGUGCUGGUAGAUAAACAAGCCGCUGUUGGCCUAUUAUAUAGCACCAAAGUGCUGGUAGAUAAACAAACCGCUGUUGGCCUAUUAUAUAGCACCAAAGUGCUGGUAGAUAAACAAGCCGCUGUUGGCCUAUUAUAUGGCACCAAAGUGCUGGUAGAUAAACAAGCCGCUGUUGGGUAAUUUUGUAUUUUAAACAAAUCUAACUGACUAUAAGAACACGUCUUUACACUCGAGUUGUCUGGGGUACUUAGCACAGCUUAAGACAAUGACGCCUAUCUUGCAUCAUUCUACAAGACUGACAUUAAUGUUCUCUCUCUAUAACUAAAAAAAAAAAUACUCCCUUUCUAUAUCAUCACCUUGGAAACACACACACACACACUCCAUCACAAGAGGAUUUGUCUGUCUGAUUUGGAGAGAAAGAUCUGACUUUGAUAUGCUAAGUAGAGAGAGUCGAAAUAAUUAAUUUUGUUUAAAUUAGGCCUAUGUGUACAUUUUGUUUACUGGUAACAGUUAUUAUGCAAAUAAGGUAUAUCAUCGUUACUUAACCUGUGGGGCGUGACCCACUGGAGGUCGCAAUGUCCUGACAAGGGGCGCGAUGUCCCUAAGGGAGGUGGAGCGAAGCCGGUCAAUUUAUUUUUCACGUUUAAAUAUUAACCAAGUAAAAUGGCUUUCAUACCAAUGUUUCAAAACUACAAAUACUGGAAGUAAGAGACCGUGUUUCAUCUUCUACCUUUUAAAACAACAUCGACUGAAAAGGUUUUUAAAGAAAAGUUUUCAAAACGCUUUCCGCUGACGUGAAAUCUCGAGUUUCAGUAGUCAGAAAGGUUCUUCCCAUUGUGGACGUUGCGUUACAAAAAUAGUAAUUUUCUCUUUUAAAUCAAUUCGUACUUUGUAUUAAUAAUAAUAAUAAUAAUAAUAAUAAUAAUAAUAAUCUUUAUUAUCCGUAAGGAAAUUUGUCUUACAAUUUGUGCAUAACACCAAACAAAAAACAUUAUAACUAUAAAAAAACAAAGUGUACAUUCACACCAGACUCACUCAUAAUUUACAGGUGACAAAGUUUAUACCAGAUUGUUCUUAUUUAAUGAUUUGAUUGCCAGGGGAACAAAAGAGUGUUUGUGUCUGUUUGUCUUUGCUAUCGGUGUCUUGUAUCUCUUUUGUGAUGGUAAAAUCACAAAAUCCUGACACAAAGGGUGAUUCUUUAUUUCGAGGAUCUUGUUAGCUUUUUUAUAGAUGUUUGUCUCAAACAACUGCCCAAAUGGGGUUUGUUUUUUGCCAAUGAUUUUGCCAGCAGCAUAUUAUAUUAAAAUAGUAUAAUGAACUAAACAUUUUUCAGAAUUUUGUAAAGAAUGUAAUUACUAUGGAUAUAUGAUAAAUUCAGAUAAAUAUCAUAACACAUUGACCUCAGCGUCAAAUCAGAAAGAGAUUCUUUAUUCUUGCAUUGCGAUUAUUAUCUCUUUCUUAUUAUCAUUAAGCUUUCUAUUUAUUUUAUAUAUAAUUACUAUUUUUUGGAAUGUAUGAAUCUGAGAGCCAGAAUUGCACAGUCCACAGCAGCACUUUCAAAACUCAAAACAAUAUGGAAAGACAAAGGCUUAGCAUUCGACACCAAAAUCAGACUGAUGCGCUCCCUGGUCAGGGCCACAAUCUUAUACGCUUGUGAGUCUUGGACGCUGACUGCAGACCUAGGGAGUAGGGUACUAGCAAUGAAAUGGAGAUGCUUUAAAAAGAUAUUAGGUCUCACACACAAAGGCCGCAUCACAAAUGAAGAUAUUAGAGACAGGCUUAGUUCAGCGAUCGAACCCCAUAUUAACUACUGUCAAAAAAACUCAUAAUAAAACUCUAGGAUCAUAUCACAAGGUCCUGAGGGCUGGCAAAAACCUUCCUUCAGGUUUUGUUCAGGAAAAGGAAGAGGCAGACAGAACACGAUGGGAAGACAUCAUUAAAGAAUGUACGGGCAUGCCAUUGAAAGAGAUUCUAUCCAAGGCAAAAGAGAUGUGGAAACAGAUGGUCCAAGAUUGUGUGUGGUAUCCCAAUGGUCCAAGAUUGUGUGUGGUAUCCCAAUGGUCCAAGAUUGUGUGUGGUAUCCCAAUGAUCCAAGAUUGUGUGUGGUAUCCCAUUGGUCCAAGAUUGUGUGUGGUAUCCCAAUGGUCCAAGAUUGUGUGUGGUAUCCCAAUGGUCCAAGAUUGUGUGUGGUAUCCCAAUGGUCCAAGAUUAUGUGUGGUAUCCCCCCCCCCCUUCCCCAUUGGUCCAACAGACUAAGGGGUAGGUGAAGAUGAAACUGAGGGUCUUCAGGGCUCGGUUUAAAACAAAAUGUACAAGAAUGUAAGGGAGUAUGUCUUGCACAUUAUAUUGAAAUGGAUUUAGUUACGGGAAUAAUACCAGUAGAUUUGUACACACAAUUUUAAUUUGUAUUAAAUUCAAUUAUUUAUGAAUUGAUGACCCAUGAAACUUAAAUACAUAAUAUUGUCACGCAACAUGAGUUGCCACCAAUGCCAGAUAAGAUAAGUAUUGCUGUUGAUUAAAUAAUGACAUGAUGGUAACAACC
Molecule: long non-coding RNA, 2742 nt
Organism: Biomphalaria glabrata
Lineage: Eukaryota; Metazoa; Mollusca; Gastropoda; Planorbidae
Exons: 2
Source: RefSeq, a predicted model, not a curated record